Non-coding RNA from Dendrothele bispora CBS 962.96, 98 nucleotides. NCBI's taxonomy places the organism in Eukaryota, Fungi, Basidiomycota, Agaricomycetes, Agaricales. The record is from the annotation of a GenBank genome assembly.
GGGCACAUGGUGUAGUUGGUUAUCACAUCCGCUUAGCAUAAGGCAAAAACCAGGAAAAGCAGUGCGGGGGGUGCUGGGUUCAAUUCCCAGUGUGUCCA